RNAcentral lists this ribosomal RNA (292 nucleotides) under uncultured bacterium. Its description in RNAcentral is "partial 16S ribosomal RNA". It matches the Rfam family "Bacterial small subunit ribosomal RNA", at positions 505 to 796 of the family's 1533-position model. The record is from RNAcentral.
GUGCCAGCCGCCGCGGUAAUACGGAGGGUGCAAGCGUUAAUCGGAAUUACUGGGCGUAAAGCGAGUGUAGGUGGUCGAAUAAGUCGGAUGUGAAAGCCCUGGGCUUAACCUGGGAAUUGCAUUCGAUACUGUUUGGCUAGAGUCUGAUAGAGGGAAGUGGAAUUCCAGGUGUAGCGGUGAAAUGCGUAGAUAUCUGGAGGAACAUCAGUGGCGAAGGCGGCUUCCUGGAUCAAGACUGACACUGAGGCUCGAAAGCGUGGGGAGCAAACAGGAUUAGAUACCCGGGUAGUCC